GACAACCAGGAGGUUGGCUUAGAAGCAGCCAUCCUUUAAAGAAAGCGUAACAGCUCACUGGUCUAAAUUUAAGUCGUCCUGCGCCGAAGAUGUAACGGGGCUCAAACUAUCCACCGAAGCUGCGGGUGUAUGAUUUCUUCGGAUUUCAUACGCGGUAGCGGAGCGUUCCGUAGGCCUGCGAAGGUGACCCGCGAGGGUUGCUGGAGGUAUCGGAAGUGCGAAUGCUGACAUGAGUAGCGAUAAAGAGUGUGAGAAACACUCUCGCCGAAAGUCCAAGGGUU
This 281-nucleotide ribosomal RNA is filed under the name Alexandrium margalefii. RNAcentral's name for it is "partial Bacterial large subunit ribosomal RNA". It matches the Rfam family "Bacterial large subunit ribosomal RNA", at positions 1088 to 1353 of the family's 2925-position model. Lineage: Eukaryota; Dinophyceae; Gonyaulacales; Pyrocystaceae. The record is from RNAcentral.